This 389-nucleotide ribosomal RNA is filed under the name uncultured bacterium. RNAcentral's name for it is "bacterial SSU rRNA". It matches the Rfam family "Bacterial small subunit ribosomal RNA", at positions 28 to 419 of the family's 1533-position model. The record is from RNAcentral.
GACGAACGCUGGCGGCGUGCUUAACACAUGCAAGUCGAGCGGUAAGGCCCUUUCGGGGGUACGACGAGCGGCGAACGGGUGAGUAACACGUGGGUGACCUGCCCUCAGCUCUGGGAUAAGCCUGGGAAACCGGGUCUAAUACCGGAUAUGACUCCAUGACGCAUGUUGUGGGGUGGAAAGCCUUGUGCGGCUGAGGAUGGGCCCGCGGCCUAUCAGCUUGUUGGUGGGGUGAUGGCCUACCAAGGCGACGACGGGUAGCCGGCCUGAGAGGCGACCGGCCACACUGGGACUGAGACACGGCCCAGACUCCUACGGGAGCAGCAGUGGGGAAUCUUGCGCAAUGGGCGAAAGCCUGACGCAGCGACGCCGCGUGAGGGAUGACGGCCUGG